AGAGUUUGAUCAUGGCUCAGGAUGAACGCUGGCGGCGUGCCUAACACAUGCAAGUCGAGCGAUCUUCUUCGGAAGAGAGCGGCGGACGGGUGAGUAACGCGUGGGUAACCUGCCUCAUACACAUGGAUAACAUACCGAAAGGUAUGCUAAUACAAGAUGAUAUAAGAGAUUCGCAUGGAUUUCUUAUCAAAGCUCCGGCGGUAUGAGAUGGACCCGCGUCUGAUUAGCUAGUUGGUAAGGUAACGGCUUACCAAGGCGACGAUCAGUAGCCGACCUGAGAGGGUGAUCGGCCACAUUGGAACUGAGACACGGUCCAAACUCCUACGGGAGGCAGCAGUGGGGAAUAUUGCACAAUGGGCGAAAGCCUGAUGCAGCAACGCCGCGUGAGCGAUGAAGGCCUUCGGGUCGUAAAGCUCUGUCCUCAAGGAAGAUAAUGACGGUACUUGAGGAGGAAGCCCCGGCUAACUACGUGCCAGCAGCCGCGGUAAUACGUAGGGGGCUAGCGUUAUCCGGAUUUACUGGGCGUAAAGGGUGCGUAGGUGGUUUCUUAAGUCAGGAGUGAAAGGCUACGGCUCAACCGUAGUAAGCUCUUGAAACUGGGAAACUUGAGUGCAGGAGAGGAAAGUGGAAUUCCUAGUGUAGCGGUGAAAUGCGUAGAUAUUAGGAGGAACACCAGUAGCGAAGGCGGCUUUCUGGACUGUAGCUGACACUGAGGCACGAAAGCGUGGGGAGCAAACAGGAUUAGAUACCCUGGUAGUCCACGCCGUAAACGAUGAGUACUAGGUGUCGGGGGUUACCCCCCUCGGUGCCGCAGCUAACGCAUUAAGUACUCCGCCUGGGGAGUACGCUCGCAAGAGUGAAACUCAAAUGAAUUGACGG
RNAcentral lists this ribosomal RNA (879 nucleotides) under uncultured bacterium. Its description in RNAcentral is "bacterial SSU rRNA". It matches the Rfam family "Bacterial small subunit ribosomal RNA", at positions 8 to 916 of the family's 1533-position model. The record is from RNAcentral.